Oncorhynchus tshawytscha (Chinook salmon) is the source of this 192-nucleotide small nuclear RNA. Its record names the gene U2. It matches the Rfam family "U2 spliceosomal RNA". Rfam says of the family: U2 is a small nuclear RNA (snRNA) component of the spliceosome (involved in pre-mRNA splicing). Complementary binding between U2 snRNA (in an area lying towards the 5' end but 3' to hairpin I) and the branchpoint sequence (BPS) of the intron results the bulging out of an unpaired adenosine, on the BPS, which initiates a nucleophilic attack at the intronic 5' splice site, thus starting the first of two transesterification reactions that mediate splicing. The record is from Ensembl. NCBI's taxonomy places the organism in Eukaryota, Metazoa, Chordata, Actinopteri, Salmoniformes, Salmonidae.
AUCGCUUCUCGGCCUUUUGGCUCAGAUCAAGUGUAGUAUCUGUUCUUAUCAGUUUAAUAUCUGAUACGUCCCCCAUCGGGGGGACUACAUAUUAAAUGGAUUUUUCGAACAGGGAGUCGGAAAUGGGGCUUGCUCCGUCCGCUCCACGCAUCGACCCGGUAUUGCAGUACCUCCGGGAACGGUGCAACACUU